Molecule: ribosomal RNA, 460 nt
Filed under: uncultured bacterium
Lineage: Bacteria
Description: partial 16S ribosomal RNA
Rfam family: Bacterial small subunit ribosomal RNA
Source: RNAcentral
CCUACGGGUGGCAGCAGUGAGGAAUAUUGGUCAAUGGACGAGAGUCUGAACCAGCCAAGUAGCGUGAAGGAUGACUGCCCUAUGGGUUGUAAACUUCUUUUAUAUGGGAAUAAAAUGUUCCACGUGUGGGAUUUUGUAUGUACCAUAUGAAUAAGGAUCGGCUAACUCCGUGCCAGCAGCCGCGGUAAUACGGAGGAUCCGAGCGUUAUCCGGAUUUAUUGGGUUUAAAGGGAGCGUAGAUGGAUUGUUAAGUCAGUUGUGAAAGUUUGCGGCUCAACCGUAAAAUUGCAGUUGAUACUGGCAGUCUUGAGUACAGUAGAGGUGGGCGGAAUUCGUGGUGUAGCGGUGAAAUGCUUAGAUAUCACGAAGAACUCCGAUUGCGAAGGCAGUUCACUAGACUGCAACUGACACUGAGGCUCGAAAGUGUGGGUAUCAAACAGGAUUAGAUACCCGUGUAGUC